ACACACACACACACACACACACACACACACACAGUAUGCAGUUUCAGUAAUAUAAUUUACUAUUUAUUCAAUAGUAUAAUCGUCAUUUACUGUAACAGCCAUUUACUUAUUUAUUAAUUUUUAAUUCCUUUUUCGAAGAAGCUAAUUGGUUUUGACUUGAAAAAUACAUUUAGAUAAAGUAAUUUGAACAUUUGCUUUUAUAAAACUUUUAAUUUUCAAAUAUUUUAGAUGAUCGGAAAAAAUGAUAUCUGAUGAACGCAAAAUUUGAAGAGCGAGAGUGUUAAAACUGAAAUCUUUAACAAUUUUAAACAUUUUAACUUCAGUUUUAUAUAAAAAAAUUCGUCUAAAUUAAACUUUCAUUAAACUAAGUCGUGGAACUGGGACUUAUUGUUAGUUUUAAAUCUGGACACCGUUCAAAAUCAGAAAUAUUUUUAAUUAUUUGAAAAACGGAGACAGAAAUAAGAACAUUUUAAUUUCUUAUGGCGUUUUUGACCGGUGCUGGGUUAACCCGUCUCAGGUUCUUUUCCUCUAGAACUGACCAAUCACAGUUAUUCCCUUCUUCAGAAGAAUGACUGUGAUUGGCCUUAUGACGUCAUUAAUCGCUCCCGGAGCGAUUAACUCAGGCCGGUCGAAAACGCUAUUGAAAUUAAACACAACUUUCUUGAGUAAAUAUGAUUCUUGAACGCUAUUUGACAACCAAUCUAGAUAUCGAAACAAAUGAAAAAGAAAAGAAAGAAAACAAUGGCUGCGUUCAGCAGACACAACUGUUGUGAGUGAGCGCUCAGUAAUUCUUUAAUAUGAUUGGUUAAUACCUUUAGAUCUAACCAAUCAUAUUAAAGAAUCACUGAUUGUUCACUCAACAGUUGUGUCUGCUGAAUGCGGCCAAUGACGCGUUCAGCAGACAGAGCGGAUCAGUGAGCACUUAGUGAUUCUCUAAUAUGAUUGGUUCUUGCCUUCUUCGUUAGAUUUAGAAACCAAUCAUAGGUAAGAAUCUGAACGCUCACUAAUCAGUUCCGUCUUCUAAACGCGCCAAAUAUAUGCUGCAUUAAGAAGUAUUCGUCCUCGACUACUUUCAUUUCGUUAAUUCGCAACCGAAUUAAUGAUUGCAAUAAUACGUUUUUCUUAACAUAAUUUAUUGAUGAGACAAAUCCAUGUGAUUCAAUGGCCGCGUUCAGCAGAAAAGGCAACUUUGCAACUGUUGUAAAAUUCUUUUAUAUGAUUGGUUUAUGUAUUUAGAUCCGAUAGGAACUAAGGACAAGAACUAAUCAUGUUAAAAAAUUUUACAACAGUUACCAAGCUGUUUUUCUGCUGAAUGCAAUCUCUUGUCAUAAUUAAUCCAGCAACAAUGUUUAUUUUUCAUGACGUCGCAUCGUGAUGCGUUACCGAACGCAUUUCUCAUGUCGUCGCCACGAAUGCGCGAUUGAGUGGUCACGUGAUCGUACAAUUUGAAAGUACUGGUCAUUUCGCGCUUCGCGUACUCGCGUCGACGUACGAUAGGUAUGUGAUCUCACAACACGAUUGCUUCACGAAAUUUUCGGAGCUGUUUACCCAUUUCGUGGUGAAGUCCACGUAUGAAUGACUGCCGAGAACAUCGAGUUUAACGACAUCGAACGUCUCGUGCUGUACGAAUCGACUCGGACAACCACGAUCAACAGCCUCGACCUUCACGAUUGGUAUUGGCAUCGAGGCGUGACUGGCAACAAGUGUCGUCUCGCGCGUCUGCAACAUUAACCUCGCCUACACUGCUCGCGAUUGUCGCUGUCCCUGUCGGAAGAACACGCCUUGCAAGCACACGGAUCUGAUGGAACAUCGGAAACGUCGGAGUAUAGGCGCAUCGCAAAAAGAAAAAAGUAAAAACACAUCGAUUUCCUCACGCACACGUACACAUACGAUUGUCAUGAGUUAUCUGCGGAGCGGAGACUUCGAGAAAAAUUGUCACGAUGGAUUGGCCGAGGUGAACACAGCGGUGAGUCUUCUCGAAAAUUUGUAAAGAAUUCAUUUGUGUAGAGAUGAAAGAUAUUACCUUUUCUCAUUCCAUUUCCAAAACGUUCCUCUUUUCUUUUUAUCUUCCAAGUUUUUCAAAAUACAUAUAGAAUUUUAUUCAAAAUUUAAAGGGAUGAAAGAUACUCUUUAAAAUUACAUCUCGAAAUCUCGCAAACUGUAAAGUCAAUUUAAAUAGAAAUAAAGAAACAUUUUUCUUUUCAUAACGUUUUUUUCCUGGAAAUUUUGUAUAGUAUAGGAAAUUACUUAAAAAAGUUCCUUUUUAAUCAUUUAAAAUUGUAUAAGAAAGAUGUAAGGCUAAACAUCUAGUUACAUGAUAAACUUAUUUUCAAUAUUAUUUCUACAGUUUAAUAUGCAAAAUGUACAAUACAAAUUUAUUGUUGAUAUAAAAUUGCUUCUUAGCUAUAGAAUUUGUGUGUAUUAAUAUAAUUUUUAUUCAUUUUUGCAUAUUACCUGUACAUACAGAAUAUAUUGUAUAUGCUACACAAAUGAAACAUAACUUUUUAUGAAAUUCUGCAUGAUAUUUAUAUCUGAAGCCGAUGUGUCUUGAUUUUCUUCAGUUAUUGAGGAAAAACAAAUAUUUUAUUUGUGCUUGUUAUUUAAAUCGUUAAAAUAAGAAACACGGAUGACGGAAAUAAUUAUGCCUCACGCAAAUUUAAUUUUUUUAUAGUCUGUGGCUAUUUUUCGGUAAGGGAAAUAAGAUCGUCAAAAAAUUAAUUUUAUAAGAAUAAUUUUACAUAAUAUAUAGAUAUACUGUAAUUAAUGUCUCCCAAGUUCUACAAUCGAUUGUUGUUUUUAUUUAAACAUUUUUAAUGACUGACAGUGAAAAGUGAAGUAAAACGUAUGCGCUGAAUAGCAAUAUUUACGAGAUUUCUUAAAAUCUUUCUUUCGCGCCAGCAUUUGCCUGCGUUGGUGUGCAAUUAAUUAAUACAAAAAAUUUUCGGUCGAGAGAAACAAGGUUUGUCGAUUGAUGAAAAAAAUGAAGGAGAUCAUCGUACGUUCGAUACAUUACCUGUGUAGGAAAUUCGAGACCGCAGU
Molecule: long non-coding RNA, 3039 nt
Filed under: Monomorium pharaonis (pharaoh ant)
Lineage: Eukaryota; Metazoa; Arthropoda; Insecta; Hymenoptera; Formicidae
Description: uncharacterized LOC118647133, transcript variant X2
Source: RNAcentral